Molecule: small nuclear RNA, 166 nt
Filed under: Crocodylus porosus (Australian saltwater crocodile)
Lineage: Eukaryota; Metazoa; Chordata; Crocodylia; Crocodylidae
Description: U1 spliceosomal RNA (ENSCPRG00005014381.1)
Rfam family: U1 spliceosomal RNA
About the family: U1 is a small nuclear RNA (snRNA) component of the spliceosome (involved in pre-mRNA splicing). Its 5' end forms complementary base pairs with the 5' splice junction, thus defining the 5' donor site of an intron. There are significant differences in sequence and secondary structure between metazoan and yeast U1 snRNAs, the latter being much longer (568 nucleotides as compared to 164 nucleotides in human).
Source: RNAcentral
AGUCAAAAAGAGUAAUGCAGGUCCCAUGAGCAUACAAGUGGCUUUCCUGGGGUGAGGCCUGUCCCUUGUAGCCUGGGCAGGCUUUCCCCUGCAAGUUUCCUUGAAUGCGGGAAACUUGACUGCACAAUUAUGUGGCAAUGGGGGACUGCAUUCAUGCUUCCCCGUG